This 492-nucleotide ribosomal RNA is filed under the name uncultured bacterium. Its description in RNAcentral is "partial 16S ribosomal RNA". It matches the Rfam family "Bacterial small subunit ribosomal RNA", at positions 29 to 507 of the family's 1533-position model. The record is from RNAcentral.
AGUGAACGCUGGCGGUAGGCCUAACACAUGCAAGUCGAACGGCAGCACAGUAAGAGCUUGCUCUUACGGGUGGCGAGUGGCGGACGGGUGAGGAAUACAUCGGAAUCUACUUUUUCGUGGGGGAUAACGUAGGGAAACUUACGCUAAUACCGCAUACGACCUACGGGUGAAAGCAGGGGAUCUUCGGACCUUGCGCGAUUGAAUGAGCCGAUGUCGGAUUAGCUAGUUGGCGGGGUAAAGGCCCACCAAGGCGACGAUCCGUAGCUGGUCUGAGAGGAUGAUCAGCCACACUGGAACUGAGACACGGUCCAGACUCCUACGGGAGGCAGCAGUGGGGAAUAUUGGAGAAUGGGAGCAGGCCUGAUCCAGCCAUACCGCGUGAGUGAAGAAGGCCUUCGGGUUGUAAAGCCCUUUUGUUGGGAAAGAAAAGCAGCAGGUUAAUACCCCGCUGUUCUGACGGUACCCGAAGAAUAAGCACCGGCUAACUUCGUG